Molecule: ribosomal RNA, 340 nt
Filed under: uncultured cyanobacterium
Lineage: Bacteria; Bacillati; Cyanobacteriota
Description: bacterial SSU rRNA
Rfam family: Bacterial small subunit ribosomal RNA
Source: RNAcentral
UCUUGGGUCGUAAACCUCUUUUCUCAGGGAAGAACAAAAUGACGGUACCUGAGGAAUAAGCAUCGGCUAACUCCGUGCCAGCAGCCGCGGUAAUACGGAGGAUGCAAGCGUUAUCCGGAAUGAUUGGGCGUAAAGCGUCCGUAGGUGGUUAGGCAAGUCUGCUGUCAAAGCUCGGGGCUUAACUCCGAAUCGGCGGUGGAAACUGCCUGACUUGAGUGCGGUAGGGGUAGAGGGAAUUCCCGGUGUAGCGGUGAAAUGCGUAGAUAUCGGGAAGAACACCGGCGGCGAAGGCGCUCUACUGGGCCGUAACUGACACUGAGGGACGAAAGCUAGGGGAGCG